This 234-nucleotide unclassified non-coding RNA is filed under the name plant metagenome. RNAcentral describes it as "partial contains small subunit ribosomal RNA, internal transcribed spacer 1, and 5.8S ribosomal RNA". The record is from RNAcentral.
UUUCCGUAGGUGAACCUGCGGAAGGAUCAUUAAAGUUAUAGUACCCCGGCCCUCUGUGCUGGGGUCUUCUAUACCACCCUUUGUUUAUUACACCUUUGUUGCUUUGGCAGGCCUGCCCUCGGGCUGCUGGCUCCGGCCGGCUCGCGUCUGCCAGAGGACCUGAACUCUGUUUGUAUAUGAAGUCUGAGUACUAUAUAAUAGUUAAAACUUUCAACAACGGAUCUCUUGGUUCUG